Long non-coding RNA from Peromyscus leucopus (white-footed mouse), 878 nucleotides. RefSeq lists it as uncharacterized. The transcript is spliced from 2 exons. Lineage: Eukaryota; Metazoa; Chordata; Mammalia; Rodentia; Cricetidae. The record is from RefSeq and is a predicted model, not a curated record.
AUUAAAACAACUCCAUUAGCUCAUGCUUCUGAACUGCAUGGAGCCUGUCCUCAGGACUGAUUUUUUUUUUUCCUGUCACCUUUUAGCCAUUCCAGGGCCAGGACCGAAGAUGAAGGUCUCAGACACCAUACCUGACCCACUGGAAUGCAGUUUGCCGAGUGGGUGCCGUUACUUCUGAGGGGGAUUUGUGCCGAGCACCUCUCUUGCUGGGGAAUGGGUGAACAUGCAGUUCGUUUUGAUGCCGUUCCAAAGAGCUGUCACCAUCCCUGUUUCCACUGAGCCCUUUCUCCGCAAGCCCCUGUGGAGGAUCUUGUUUCUGGAGUCUAACCCGCCAUCGUGCAGCAUCACAUCAGUGGAGACAAUUCUCCCAAUGCAACUAGAUCCCGGAAGUGCAGUUCAGCGUGUGGGCCAGCCUCCUGGCUUUGGGUGCUAUGAUGGCUGUUCUUGGUCACCAGCUUGACUACAUCUGGAUUGAACUGUGAUCCAGGAAUGAGAGAUUAUUUGUGCUGGUUUGAAGUGGGCGACUCCACUUCUAGUCCAGACCUUUGAGGUGGGAAGAAACACACCUUUGAUCCAGAUUUUGAGGCAGAAGACAUAUCACUAAUCUUGACCAUGACUUCUGCUGGAAGCCUACAUAAGGACUUGGAAGAAGGAAGCUUUUGCUAGUUACCUGCUUGUUCUCGGCUUGCUAGCACAUCCAUUCCUUCACUGGCUUUUACUUCUUUAGGAACCCAGCAUCUACUGAAGACCAGCUGAGACAUCCAGCCUUGUGGAUUGAGCAACUACUGGACUUGUGUACUUUCUGUUCCUACCCAGCCAUUGUUGGAUAGGCUGGACUGCAGACUGCAAAUCAUUCCAGUAAAUCUUGUAUGUAUGUA